UACGGAGGGUGCGAGCGUUGUCCGGAAUCACUGGGCUUAAAGGGCGCGUAGGCGGGCGAGCGAGUCCGGGGUGAAAGCGCCCGGCUUAACCGGGCAAGGGCCUCGGAGACCGCUCGUCUUGAGGGAGGUAGGGGCAGGCGGAACUUCCGGUGGAGCGGUGAAAUGCGUUGAUAUCGGAAGGAACGCCGGUGGCGAAAGCGGCCUGCUGGACCUCUACUGACGCUGAGGCGCGAAAGCCAGGGGAGCGAACGGG
Molecule: ribosomal RNA, 253 nt
Filed under: uncultured bacterium
Lineage: Bacteria
Description: partial 16S ribosomal RNA
Rfam family: Bacterial small subunit ribosomal RNA
Source: RNAcentral